CAAAUGGGUGAAGAAGAUAGUUUCAAAUCGGUGUAAGGAAACCAAAACCCUAAACAGGAACAAAAGUCGACCAGAAUUGUGAAUGAUUCACAAACUGAAACACGAGGGAGGAGCACGCAACACGAAAUAGGGUACUGAGAGCUUUCCAUUUGUCUGUAUGGAAACAGUGACCCAUAUGAAGUAUUUCGUUAGAUUCUCAACAUUACCAUCAAUAAUCAUGCUCCGUAUGAAAGGUUGGGUGAAAUAACCACCUGCUCCAUUGACAACCUGAAUAAUUCCAUUCAAUCAAUACGACGAAUACUCUUUUUACAAGUGUCAGUUGUAGUUCCCACUAAAAUAUAUAGCAAAUUCUUGAUGUGGAAGCAGCCCUUACUCUUGCUUGCAAAAUGACCAUCAACAAUUACUACUUUGAAUGGGGUUGGCAGGUAAACAUGACGAUGAGGGGUUAUUGUUUCAGCUUCAGCUUCAGACAAAGUAAGGGAGUACCUUCUCCUUCAGCUGCAUUUCAUGACAUCAUGGACGUCCUCCUCAGCCAAUACAAGAACAACCCGAAUAGUAUGGAGGAAAUAGAAAAUCUGCUGAAUAUCAUGAGAUGCCAGGGCUGUGCAAUUGAUAUUGGCUUAGCUGGACGCCUCAUUAGCUUGUUUGGAAGGGUGGGCAUGGUGCACAAAUCUGUACAAGUGUUUCAUGAGGUAAAAAAAACAUACCCAAUUCUGAAUGUCUAUCCAUAUAACUGUCUGUUAGAUGUUUUUGUAAAUGUGGGUCACAUAGAUGAAUCUCUCAAAUUGUUACAUGAAAUGCUGAAAGACAACUUCGUGCCCAAUAACACUACUCUCUCUCAGCUAUUAGCUUCUUUGUUUAAACAAAAUAGAUUGCCAGAGGCGCAGGGGAUUAUAAUUCACACAAUCGAGAAAGGUUCUGAUGAACAAUUUACACAAAUCAUUCAUGUCCUGUGUGAAUUGGGAGAAACAAACAUGGCCUGGAAGCUUUUACAUUUAGCAAAAAGUAAAAGGGUUUGCCUCACUGUAGCACCAUUCAAUGUUCUCUUGAGUAGCCUUGGUCAUGAUGGUCAGCUCGCUAAUAUUGUUUUGCUUCUAUCUGAAAUGAAAGAGAUGGGAUUUGUUCCAAAUGUCAUAAUGUAUAAUACACUGAUAAAAUCUUUAUGCAGUUCAGGUCUAAUCGAGGAAGCAUACGAUCUCUUUAAAGAAAUGAGGUUCGCUGAUUGUGGUCCGGAUACUAUUACAUAUAAUACCCUAAUUCAUGGUCUUUGCAAGGAGGGUAAAGUGCAUGAAACGUAUGGGUUAGUAGCAAAAAUGAUGCAAGAUGGUUGUUCUCUGAGUAUUAUAACUUACAAUACCCUAAUUGAUGGUCUCUGCAAGGUGGGCAGGGUAGAUGAAGCUGUUCGAUUAAUGACUAAAAUGGUAAAAGAUGGCUUUUCUCUGAAUGUUAUUACAUACAAUACCCUAGCUAAUGGUCUCUGCAAGGUGGGCAGUACAGAUGAAGCUCUUGAAUUAGUAGCUAAAAUGGUACAAGAUGGGUGUUCUCUGAACAUUAUUACAUACAGUACUCUGAUUGAUGGUCUCUGCAAAGCAGGUAAAAUAAACACAGCCUUUGGUUUAGCAGAUAAAAUGAUGAAAAAUGGUUGUUCUCCUAAUACCGUUACAUACAGAUCCUUGAUUGAUGGUCUCUGCAAGGUGGGAAAAGUAGAAGAAGCUCUUAGAUUAGCAGAUAAAAUGAAACAAGAUGGCCGUUCUCUAAAUUAUAUUACAUAUGGGACCCUGAUUCAUGGUCUUACCAAGGUUGGUCGAAUGGAUUUAACUCUCAAAUUAGUAGCUCAGAUGAUGCGUUCAUGGUCUGCGCUGGAUAUUAUUACAUAUAAUACUUUAAUCAGCAGUUUCUUCAAGGAGAGUAGGGUACAUGAAGCACUUAGAUUAAUAGCAAAAAUGAUACAAAGUGGUUGUUAUCCAGAUAUAUUUACAUACAAUUCCCUGAUUGAUCAUCUAUGUAAGGUGGGUAACGUAGAUGAAGCUCUUAGAUUGGUAGCUAAAAUGGUAAACUAUGGCUUUUCUCCAAAUAUUAUUACAUACAAUACCCUAGUUAAUGGUCUCUGCAAGAUAGGUAGUGUACAUGAAGCUUUUGGAUUGGUAGCUAAAAUGGUACAAGAUGGUUGUUCUCUUAAUGUUAUUACAUACAGUACUCUGAUCGAUGGUCUGUGCAAGGCAGGUAAAGUAAAUGAAGCUCUUGGAUUAGCAGAUAAAAUGCUGCUAAAUGGUUGUUCACCUGAUAAUGUUACCUAUGGAACACUAAUUGAUGGUCUGUGCAAAGCAGGUAAAGCAAACAAAGCUCUUGAAUUAGCUGAUAAAAUGAAUCAAAAUGGUUGUCAUCCAGAUUAUAUUACAUACAGUACCCAAAUAAAUGGGCUUGCCAAGGUGGGCAGAGUGGAUUCAGCUCUUAAAUUGGUAGCUCAAAUGAGGCAUGCUCACUCUGGUCCAGAUAUUAUUACAUAUAAUACACUAAUCAGCAGUCUCUGCAAGGAGAAUAAGGUACAUGAAGCUUGUGGAUUAGUAGCAAAAAUGAUACAAGAUGGUUUUUAUCCAGAUAUUAUUACAUUUAAUACCCUAAUCGAUGGUCUGUGCAAAGUGGGCAAACUAGAUGAAGCUAUUGACUUGAAAGAUAAAAUGAUGCAAGAUGGUUGCAUACCUGAUGUUAUUACUUACAGUAUCCUAAUACAUGGUCUCUGGAAGGCAGGUGCAGUGGACUCAGCUCUUAGUAUGGUAGCUAAAUUGAGGGAUGCUGACUGUGCUGCAGAUAUUAUUGCAUACAGUAUCCUGAUUAAUGGUCUCUGCAAGGAGGGUAGAGUACAUGAAUCUCUUGGAUUAGUGGCUAAAACAAUACAAAGUAGUUGUUCUUGGGAUACUGUUAUGUACACCACCUUAGUUGAUUGUCUUUGGAAAGUGGGUGAAGUAAAUGAAGCUCUUGGAAUAGUAAAUAAAAUGAUACAAGAUGGUUGUUCUCCAGAUAUUCUGACAUUCAGUACCCUAAUUCAUGGCCUUUGCAAGUUGAAUAGAAUAGAUAUUGCUGUCAGAUUAGUAGGUAAACUGAAGCAUGUUGAUUGUUCUCCAGACAUUGUUACAUAUAAUAUCCUAAUUAAUAGUCUCUGCAAAGAGGGAAGAGUACAUGAAGCUCUUGAACUAGUAGCUCAAUUGGCACGAGAUGGUUGCUCUCCUGAUAUUAUCACAUACACUUCCUUAAUUAAUGGUUGCAGUAGGGUGGGUAAAGUAGACGAAGCUCUUGGAUUGGCAGAUAAAAUGAUACAAGAGCAUUGUUCUCCAGAUAUUAUCACAUAUGGUGCCCUAAUUGAUGGUCUCUGCAAGGUCAGUAGAGUGGAUUUAGCUCUCAGAUUAGUAGCUAAAAUGAAACAGGCUGAUCAUGCUCCAAAUAUUAUUAUAUACAAUAGCCUUAUUGAUGGUCUGUGCAAGGAGGGCAGAGUACAUGAAGCUCUUGGAUUAGUAGCCAAAAUGAUGCAAAAUGGUUUUUCUACAGACAUCAUUGCACGCAAUACACUGAUGGAUGGUCUUUACAACAUAGGCAGAGCAUAUGAAGCUCCUGGAUAAAUAUCUACAAUUAUAUAAGAUGAUUAUUCUAUCUUGAUAAAUGUCUUUCACAAGGAUGCCAUAAUAGAUUAAAGCUACAAUCUGUUUGUUCAAAUGGCGAAGUUGGGUCCUCCUCUCAGCACAAGACAUUUAGUACAAUUAUUGGACUGGACAUGGAUGGCAGGAUGGUCAAGACCCUGAAAUAUUUUAUAGCAUGCCCAAAAAAGGUUUUUGGCCAAAUUAUAACUUUUAGAGAUGCAGUUGUAAAAUACAAGGUGGAAAGAGUUAAUAGUGGUUUGAGGAAUUGCUUAGAAAAGGAUGUUUUCCAAUACAGGGGAAAAUAAAAUUCCCUUGCCUUUUCAAUGCUGGAUAAGAAAAUAGCAAGAGGCUUGGUUACAAAUGUCAUAACAUGCUCAUUUCGUUUUCCACAUAUACAGGAAAAAUGGUUGGCAUUACUCUGAUUGCCUCUUUUUGGAAGGAAAAUAAAGUUGACAUUGCAUCUUCAAUGCUGGAUGAGAUAAUAGCAAGAGGUUUGGUUCCAAAUGUUGUAAUAUGUCCCAGAGUUUUUUUUCUGCUUCUAUAAAAUAAAUGGAUUGGAAAAAGUGUAUCUACUGAGGAAUUAACAGAAGAAGCAAGGCUGUGCUCCAGAUUGCUUAAUGUUUCAUUAAUUUGGUGAUCGGCUUUUUGGUGUCAGCUUAUGGAAAAAUCAAUACUUUGUCAAAGCUGAUGCAAUUAUCAUUUCUGAAUGAAAUUCUCCCAACUUUUUGUAUUAGAUGUAUAUAGAACUUAGAAGUCAUAAAGUGCGAAAUAUUUCAGAGGUAGCAAUAAAUAGUCCUUGUACACACAUAGCACGUUGGUGUCUUACGUUCAGGUGAUGGUUAUCAAUGUUGCUGUUGCAGAUUUGAUCCUAGUCUGCCUGUGUAAUUUAAAUUAGCUUGAGUCUGUAAGUAGUGGCUACUAGCUAGUAUAUAGUGCAUCCUCUUAUGGGUACUGAAAUCUAUUUUCUUGUAAUGUACAUAUGCCAGCUCUCCUUUAAUAAUCAAGGCUUCUUGGAGCAUUUUACUGUGAAUGAGAUUAACUGCUCAACCAACAAUUAUCUGCCAGGUCAGACAUUCAACAUUGAACGGCAACGAGCCAAACUACACACUCUAGCUUAUGUUCUGUAUUGCAUCAUUCCAAAAUUAGGUAAUUUGGAAAGUGUAUCCGCCAUUCCAAAUAAGCACAAUCAAUAAUAAUUUUGACAUUCGCAAAAUUGAUUUGAUUUGCUUGGUGGGUUAAUAUCUCAUAAAGUGGCAUUAGGGCUGGAAAAACACAAGUAGUUAAAAAGAUUUGGGUUUCAUUAAUUGUAAUCUCCUCUGGUUGGAUAAUUUUGUUAAUUUGAAUCUUCCUUACCUUGAUGGCCAUGGCCCAGGAGGAUUUACAAAUCCAAAUUUCAAUAUCAGUCUAGCCUUGUCACGAUUUGUUCUAAUAUCUCUGCCUUACUGGAACACUUACAUUGUUUUCAUUAGUUUUUGGUAAUGUCUGUUAUAUAAUAUUGGCUAAUAUCCCAUUUUUAAUCUUUUGAAAACACCCUGAAUCAAAUGAAAAGUGAGAAUUUUGUGGAUAUUUACCCAAGUUUUGUAUUUAAAAUUACUCUUUGCAGGUCACAGGUAAAGCUUAAAAUUUCCAGCUAUUUUUCUAGGAGCCGGACAUUUGGUCAAUUUUUUAAUCCAUUUAACAACAAUUUGAACUUAAUACUCAUGUUUUUGUGUAACUGUUCAACAGACAUGAGAAGGUGCCUGCCAAUGUCCGGUGGACUGAUAUAUCCUAAAUUUUAAAUGUGAAUGAGACCUGGUGCUUUUUUUUUUCUGGAUUUUGAAUAUCCUUUUCGAUGGCUUUUGUUUGCAUUUUGUCUCACAGCUGCUGUACCUGGAGAUUUAUUGUUUUGAAGAAGUUCCUGUUUCUAUUUUGAACAGACUGACUUGAUAUUUAUUCAGUGGAUAUUAUCAGGGCAAAACUGGGUGAAGAACAUACAUAGCUAGUUGUACACAGUUAGCUAGUUGUACACAGUUUUCACCUGUCUCAAAAACUGUGAAAAAACUGAUGAAAUGCAUUAUAUAGGAUAUUGUUUCGUUACAUAUACAUGGAAGCCUAUCACCACCAAUUUCUUCCUGCAAAAUAAGUGUUCCAUGGGGCUUGUGCCCUCGGGGAUGGAGGUGAUGUCCAAGAGAUCUCAGGGACUGGACAGCUUGCUCCAUUUGGUCCAUUUUAUAACAAAAAGGGUAACUUCUGAAUUAAAAAGUGCUGAAACUAUCCAAAACUCUAAAAGGGCGAGCAUUGUCAUUGUAAAUGCAGUACAUUUUAUUCACUUUUAAAAAAUUCAGC
This is an RNA transcript of Cryptomeria japonica (Japanese cedar), 5957 nucleotides long. It is a transcript of the gene named pentatricopeptide repeat-containing protein At1g63330, with no coding region annotated. Lineage: Eukaryota; Viridiplantae; Streptophyta; Pinopsida; Cupressales; Cupressaceae. The transcript has 4 exons. The record is from RefSeq and is a predicted model, not a curated record.